UCCUGGUUAACCCAGGCAGUCUCAUUAGAGUUCCCACCUUCACGUGUUGGCAACUAAUGAUAAGGGUUGCGCUCGUUGCUGGACUUAACCAAACACCUCACGGCACGAGCUGACGACAGCCAUGCAGCACCUGUGCAAAGGCCCCGAAGGGAACAUCUAUUUCUAAAUGCGUCCUCUGCAUGUCAAGACUGGGUAAGGUUCUUCGCGUUGCAUCGAAUUAAACCACAUGCUCCACUGCUUGUGCGGGUCCCCGUCAAUUCUUUUGAGUUUCAGCCUUGCGACUGUACUCCCCAGGCGGUAUACUUAUCGCGUUCGCUACGGCACAACCAGGGUUGAUUCCGGUUACACCAAGUAUACAUCGUUUACGGCAAGGACUAC
This 378-nucleotide unclassified non-coding RNA is filed under the name uncultured Parachlamydiaceae bacterium. RNAcentral describes it as "contains 16S-23S intergenic spacer region". Lineage: Bacteria; Pseudomonadati; Chlamydiota; Chlamydiia; Parachlamydiales; Parachlamydiaceae. The record is from RNAcentral.